Molecule: ribosomal RNA, 236 nt
Filed under: Anaerolineae bacterium
Lineage: Bacteria; Bacillati; Chloroflexota; Anaerolineae
Description: partial 16S ribosomal RNA
Rfam family: Bacterial small subunit ribosomal RNA
Source: RNAcentral
CAGACGGAGAGUUUGAUCCUGGCUCAGGAUGAACGUUGGCGGCGUGCCUAACACAUGCAAGUCGAACGGUGAUAGCAAUAUCAGAGUGGCGCACGGGUGAGUAACACGUAGCUUACCUGCCUCAAAGAGCGGGAUAACGUCUCGAAAGAGACGCUAAUACCGCAUAAGCUCCCGGACUGUAGAGGUCUGAGAGAAAAGGUUAAAAGACCGCUUCGAGAUGGGGCUGCGGCCCAUCA